CCAUAAAGCUCCCAAGUUUCUGACAAAAAUCAUAAAAGUACUUAGAUUCUCAUGCCAAACAUAAAAAUCAGAAGGAAUAAGAUACAAAUAAUUAAGGGUCAAUGAUAUAAAAAUCCAAACCUUUUCUCUGAUUUGCAAUUAUGGCCAAUCCUUUUAACUUUUUCAAUGGUGUCUUCUAUGAUUACUUUGUUUUUACAUUGUUCCCUUAUACACAAGUUCAGAAUUGCUUCUAUCAUCUAAGGGUGGUUAUGGACAAAGUAAAAUAUACUUUGACUUUAACAAGGUAAUCACAGAAAACCCUUGUUUUUAGCAUCUUCCCUUGCACAUUUGACUACAAUUGUCACCACAAUAAAAUGUUGUUCAUAAAACUUAAAAAGUUAAAAAAAAUUCAUAAUAUUGCAAAUUUGAGCAAAGGAUCGACUUUUUUUAGUCAUUAACCCUAUUAUUCAUACCAUAGAAAUUAAGUAAAUCAUUUCUAGGAGCAUAAAAAUUGGGGAGAAAACCCAUUACAAAUUGCAGUCUAUUAAUCUUGUACUCAUUUUAUUCAUCAAAUUAAAUAUUCUUCAUUUUGCACCGUCGCAGUUGGAAAGUUUUAUCUCUGUCAGCUACAACCUUACUCACAAAAUUAACUAUUGAAGUCACAAAAAUUAUUACCUUCUCUCAUAAAUUUUAACAGAGUCCAAGAAUUAAAUGACAAAUGGCAUGAUCAAAAGCAUUUUCAAGAAGUUUUACAUCACUGGUGAAUUUGUAUCACUAUUUACUAGAAAGUAUUUCUUCAAAUGGAACAUUUCUCUGUGAACUUUUAAUACAAGAAUUUGAAAGUGACCAUACCUGAGAACUGAGCUUGCUUUCCCG
Molecule: unclassified non-coding RNA, 855 nt
Filed under: Hevea brasiliensis (rubber tree)
Lineage: Eukaryota; Viridiplantae; Streptophyta; Magnoliopsida; Malpighiales; Euphorbiaceae
Source: RNAcentral